Molecule: ribosomal RNA, 760 nt
Filed under: Streptomyces sp.
Lineage: Bacteria; Bacillati; Actinomycetota; Actinomycetes; Kitasatosporales; Streptomycetaceae
Description: bacterial SSU rRNA
Rfam family: Bacterial small subunit ribosomal RNA
Source: RNAcentral
GGGAUUAGUGGCGAACGGGUGAGUAACACGUGGGCAAUCUGCCCUUCACUCUGGGACAAGCCCUGGAAACGGGGUCUAAUACCGGAUACUGACCCUCGCAGGCAUCUGCGAGGUUCGAAAGCUCCGGCGGUGAAGGAUGAGCCCGCGGCCUAUCAGCUUGUUGGUGAGGUAAUGGCUCACCAAGGCGACGACGGGUAGCCGGCCUGAGAGGGCGACCGGCCACACUGGGACUGAGACACGGCCCAGACUCCUACGGGAGGCAGCAGUGGGGAAUAUUGCACAAUGGGCGAAAGCCUGAUGCAGCGACGCCGCGUGAGGGAUGACGGCCUUCGGGUUGUAAACCUCUUUCAGCAGGGAAGAAGCGAAAGUGACGGUACCUGCAGAAGAAGCGCCGGCUAACUACGUGCCAGCAGCCGCGGUAAUACGUAGGGCGCAAGCGUUGUCCGGAAUUAUUGGGCGUAAAGAGCUCGUAGGCGGCUUGUCACGUCGGUUGUGAAAGCCCGGGGCUUAACCCCGGGUCUGCAGUCGAUACGGGCAGGCUAGAGUUCGGUAGGGGAGAUCGGAAUUCCUGGUGUAGCGGUGAAAUGCGCAGAUAUCAGGAGGAACACCGGUGGCGAAGGCGGAUCUCUGGGCCGAUACUGACGCUGAGGAGCGAAAGCGUGGGGAGCGAACAGGAUUAGAUACCCUGGUAGUCCACGCCGUAAACGGUGGGCACUAGGUGUGGGCAACAUUCCACGUUGUCCGUGCCGCAGCUAACGCA